Molecule: long non-coding RNA, 515 nt
Organism: Hippocampus comes (tiger tail seahorse)
Lineage: Eukaryota; Metazoa; Chordata; Actinopteri; Syngnathiformes; Syngnathidae
Exons: 3
Source: RefSeq, a predicted model, not a curated record
AUGAAUGUGUGUCAUAGUGAUGCUGUUUAAGAAUUAAACAGCUCUUAAUCCGUAGCCUAUUGGUGUUUGCUUGAGGUUGGAGUGAUAAAACAAAAGCUUGACUUUUGCCAUGUUUUUAUUCCUGUGCUGAAUGGACUGCUGUAGUUUGAGGACUUGGUUUUGCAGGUGGAGAGUCUGCAAGCCAUCAUCAAAGACAAGUUGGAGGACCACGCCUCCUUGGCGGCGGCCAACCAGCUGGCACAGAGAGAGCUUGCCGAACGCAACGAAGAGAUCGACAAGCUAGCUGUGCGAAUCCGUGAGCUGGAGCAAGCGCUGCUCAGCAGUGCCGAGUGUAACGGAGCCGUUGGCCAACUGGAACAAGAACUCCACCGGGCCAAGUUGAGGGAAGAGGAGCUCACGCAAGAUAAGCAGGCACUGGAACAGCAGCAGUUGUCCAAUAGACUUCAGAUAUCUGCGCUGCAGUCCAAACUGGAUGAGACGAGACACUGUUACCAUAACAGCACGUGGGAACCGAC